UCAUAGAAAUCACAAGUGAGCAGAAAGCAAU
Molecule: non-coding RNA, 31 nt
Filed under: Mus musculus (house mouse)
Lineage: Eukaryota; Metazoa; Chordata; Mammalia; Rodentia; Muridae
Source: RNAcentral